GACACAUCUAGCACAUAACAUUAUCACUUGGGCUUGCUAUCCAGCUAUAAUACCAAAUUUGAAUCACACAGAUAUAUAUGUAUAAAUAUACAGAUAUAGCAGUGUUUCCUUAUGUAUAACUCAUAAGCACAUUGGGUUUGGAAUAUGGAGAGGAAGGAAUAUGGAGAUGAAUAAUACUCAUUUCAUAUGCAUGAAUAACUUUGCAGUAAUGCAAAUGAGAAAAGACAAAAUGGAAAGUAGGUUUCUUCCAGCAGAAUUAUGACUAAGAAUGUAGCCUGAAAUUUGCCAAUAUAUUAGAGUCACUUAUGAUGUCUGUGAAUUUUCUUUAAGAUGUCACAUCUUUUAAAAACAUUCUACCCUACCCUAUUAUAUUUUCAGUAUAUAAUUACAUAAAUAUAGAAAUCCACAACUUCAAAUCCUUUUAAACUACCAUGAGGCAUGAAAGGAAGCUUUAGGAUUUUAAGAAGAUAAAAGGUGUGCGUGGGGUGGUGUCGGGGUGGGGGGGGACAGAAAAGCAACAUCAAAGGGCAAAAUGAAUUUUCUGAUUAAUUUCCAGGUAGAAGUAACCUGACCUCCACUCCUGACCCUAACUUAAUUCCUUUUCAAGUAAAUGGAAGCCAGAAAGUAUACCCCUUUCUAAGACAGAUGUUCCUGAGAUCUGAUUAUUAAAAGGAUCUUACUGGCCACAAAAAUGGCAACAAUACAGCCCAAUAAACUGUUUAGGUCCUGCUACUCCUAUUAUAAAUAAGUUUUUCCCUUAAUUUUUCCACUAUACGAAUUAAUUAAUUAGACAAGAAAAUGAAGCAAUUUUAUCAGAAAAGCAUCUCAAAGAGCUAUUGAUUCAAAUGCUUUUACAUUGUACCCUUAUCACACAUGAUUAGCUUGCAGAUAUGAGCUUAAUGAUGCAAAGCACCAGAUUUCAGUGGAUUCUUGUUCCACUUGAAUUCCCAGGAAAGAUAUUGGAAACACUAACAAAGAAAUAAUACUGUUCUUCUCACAAUGUUCUUGUAGUCAAUGAUUUUGAAGGGAUGUGUCAUGACUUGACACAGCACAGUCUUUCUAAACUAUUCCAUUGCACAUUUUCUUUAGCAUCACCAAUCUUUCCUAUAUUUUUGUGAGUAGGUGUGUUUGUGUGUGUGUGUGCUUUUGCUUAUUUCUGAUUGUAAUCCUAGUAUCUACCCAUUAGUAAGAACUGUGUGAAGCAUAUGCUCCAACCAGUAUAAAGGCAUUGAUAUUUUCAAUUAACAUUAAACUAUUCAAUAAAAUAAAUUGUAGCUGAAACUAAGUUUACAAAUUAAAACUAAGUUUACAGAUCUGCUUGCCAUAUGGAAGGUACUUAAAGUGUUUGUGGACUGAGUGAAUAAAUAAAUGGGCUUAUCUGCUAAGGACCAAGACAAAAGGAGAAAAAACCGUCUUGAGAGAAACUUAAAAAAAACCCCAAAACUAAAUCCUAUUUUACCCUUGGAUAAACUACUUUAAAUGGAAAAGUUUCUAAUUUUCAAAGGUUCUUAAUUCACUCACUAGGAAGGAAAAGGAAAAAUCUAGGAAUAGUUAUCACUAUUGGAUCUACCAUUUUUAAAUGGGCUAUAACAUUCUAGAAUAUAGGAGAGUUUAGUAUAUAAUAAAGGUGGCAUUUCACAUUUCUGAUUUCUACUUUUUCUCUAUUGGGGCUACCCACUGUUUUUUGGUCCUUACUAACCUCUGCCAAUGUGUCUCUUUGGAGUUGGUCUUUCACCCUUGGAAAAUUCAUGAAAUUCUUCCCUCAGCAGUAAAACUAUAUAAUGCUGCUCUCAAAGAGUCAAGCUGGCUAAUUAAACCUCUACCCUUGGUUCUAGCUGGUGUCAUGGAUCCUCUGAAACUCCACAGCAUCCUCCAUCUGUCGUCAGCUAUCUCUUUGAUGCCUCUUGAAGACAAGGAAACUUCUCCAGAUCUCUCCCAUGUCCUGCUGAAGGGCUUUCUUGGAGGAAGGCAACAGGUUGAGGGUUGGAGGGGAAGGGUGCCAGUUCAGAUCCACUCAAGUUCUCCUUUGCUGCCAUUCCUACAGGCAUCUACAAAACUGCCUCCUCCCAGGGUUCCAGGUGGGAAGGCAUCAUAACCCCCCUAACUCCUAUGUUUUCAUAGUCAUCAAACAGGAAUCUGUUACCUACUUCCCUCCCUCAAAAGUUGCAACACUAGGAGUGGAAUAUGCGAUGUUCAUUGUCUACAUCCAAUUUCUUUCCCUCUCCCUCACACCCUAGGCUCCUCACUGCCCACAGCCUAGAAAGUUUCAAGCUGUCCUGUGUGAUGAGCAACGAUCUCUAGCUCAUAUCCUGAAGCCUCCUCUACUGUGUGCUUAACUUUCAUAAAUUCUAUGAUCCAACUCUCUAGCAUCAGGUUAAUAUUUCUGGCCAUGUCCUUUAGGAAUUAAAAAUAAAACCAUUUUCCUCUCAAGAGCCUAGCUCUUCCAAAUCAGAACAGUUUGUUUUGAGCUUAUUGUACGUGGUAUAAGUUUAAAAAAAUAAUCUACUAGGCACUUUAAAUCUUCUGUUGACUCUGUUCUUGAUUGUGUCUACUCUCCCACUAGAGCAAUAAAUGUCAUUGAUCAAAUAAGCAGAGAAAAACAAAGCAACAAGCAUAUUUUGGAGAAGUGAUAACCUUGCUUUGCAUAGUAUACAAAUAAUAUGAAUAGAAUCUAGGCACUACAAAAUCCUACCAAUAUCCCAUAUCUUGUCCAAAGCAACAGAAAGUAUAUAGGUAGGUUAUCUCAUCUACAACGAGAAAAUAAGGCAAAACACAUAGAAUGCUCAUGUAUAAAAUGUGAAAAAGAAUAAAACUGUCAAAUUACAGGAUUUAUAAAAUGCUAAGGCAUACAAAAAAGGACAAAAAGUCUUGGAUAAAUGAAAUCUAUCUUUCGUAAACUAUAAGCUAUUUGACAGCAGAAUUUCUCUUUUUCUUUCCUAUAGUUGGCACUCAGAAAACAUUUGAUAAAGACAUUUAUGGUAAAUGAUUUUUAAGUGCCCUUGGAACUCAAAUGAUAUUCUGCUGGUGUCUGUAUCUCACCCCUGGGGACAGUGUAUACCCAGUAAAUUUUGGUGAUGAAAAAAAUAGUCUGUUUAGCAAAGGCAAAUACUAAAACCCAAACAGGGAGAAAUAAGCUAACAUUCAUUGAGUGCUUUCUUGGUGCUAAGGAAUUUACUUGGAUUAUUUCAUUGUUCAAUCAUUAAGUGUAC
RNAcentral lists this long non-coding RNA (3209 nucleotides) under Equus asinus (donkey). RNAcentral describes it as "lncRNA (ENSEASG00005038808.1)". Lineage: Eukaryota; Metazoa; Chordata; Mammalia; Perissodactyla; Equidae. The record is from RNAcentral.